UGGGGAAUCUUCCGCAAUGGACGAAAGUCUGACGGAGCAACGCCGCGUGAGUGAUGACGGCCUUCGGGUUGUAAAGCUCUGUUAAUCGGGACGAAUGGUUCUUGUGCAAAUAGUGCGAGGAUUUGACGGUACCGGAAUAGAAAGCCACGGCUAACUACGUGCCAGCAGCCGAGGUAAUACGUAGGUGGCAAGCGUUGUCCGGAAUUAUUGGGCGUAAAGCGCGCGCAGGCGUAUUGGUCAGUCUGUCUUAAAAGUUCGGGGCUUAACCCCGUGAUGGGAUGGAAACUGCCAAUCUAGAGUAUCGGAGAGGAAAGUGGAAUUCCUAGUGUAGCGGUGAAAUGCGUAGAUAUUAGGAAGAACACCAGUGGCGAAGGCGACUUUCUGGACGAAAACUGACGCUGAGGCGCGAAAGCCAGGGGAGCGAACGGG
This 429-nucleotide ribosomal RNA is filed under the name bacterium. Its description in RNAcentral is "partial 16S ribosomal RNA". It matches the Rfam family "Bacterial small subunit ribosomal RNA", at positions 355 to 776 of the family's 1533-position model. The record is from RNAcentral.